This 387-nucleotide ribosomal RNA is filed under the name uncultured bacterium. Its description in RNAcentral is "bacterial SSU rRNA". It matches the Rfam family "Bacterial small subunit ribosomal RNA", at positions 29 to 416 of the family's 1533-position model. The record is from RNAcentral.
AUUGAACGCUGGCGGAAUGCUUUACACAUGCAAGUCGAGCGGCAGCGCGGGGGCAACCCUGGCGGCGAGCGGCGAACGGGUGAGUAAUACAUCGGAACGUGUCCUGGAGUGGGGGAUAGCUCGGCGAAAGCCGGAUUAAUACCGCAUAAGCUCUGAGGAGGAAAGCGGGGGCUCCGUAAGGACCUCGCGCUGUUGGAGCGGCCGAUGUCGGAUUAGCUAGUUGGGGGGUAAAGGCCCACCAAGGCGACGAUCCGUAGCUGGUCUGAGAGGAUGAUCAGCCACACUGGAACUGAGACACGGUCCAGACUCCUACGGGAGGCAGCAGUGGGGAAUUUUGGACAAUGGGGGCAACCCUGAUCCAGCCAUUCCGCGUGAGUGAAGAAGGCC